RNAcentral lists this long non-coding RNA (278 nucleotides) under Citrus maxima (pomelo). RNAcentral's name for it is "long non-coding RNA (CMAX_LNC000374)". Lineage: Eukaryota; Viridiplantae; Streptophyta; Magnoliopsida; Sapindales; Rutaceae. The record is from RNAcentral.
AGAAGCCUUGCACUUACAAUGUUGAGUGCAAGGGUUCGAGCCUCCAUAAGAGUAUUAUGGAGGUUAGUUACAGUUCUUCCUCAAUUAUCAAUUAAUUGAGUGGAGACAGUCUCUCCCUCACGAAAUGUGAGUGGAGUAGGCACCCCUCGAAUUUUAGAGAGGGUUUAAAAUAUCUGGGCAUAUACUUCAGUGUGUCAAUGUAUGGUGGUGGUCCCAGUUAUAUAGUAUGAUUGUAAAUAUUAAUUGUAAUGUCUGAUGUAAUGUCAGUAAUAUCUGUG